CCUACGGGUGGCUGCAGUGAGGAAUCUUGCGCAAUGGGCGAAAGCCUGACGCAGCGACGCCGCGUGACUGAUGAAGUCCUUCGGGAUGUAAAAGUCUUUUGCCAGGGAAGAAGGAUGUGACGGUACCUGGCGAAUAAGCCCCGGCUAACUACGUGCCAGCAGCCGCGGUAAUACGUAGGGGGCGAGCGUUGUCCGAAGUCACUGGGCGUAAAGCGCGCGUAGGCGGUCUUUUAAGUUGGAUGUGAAAUCCUGCGGCCCAACCGCAGAACUGCAUCCAAAACUGGGAGACUUGAGGAUGGAAGAGGGCAGUGGAAUUCCUGGUGUAGCGGUGAAAUGCGUAGAUAUCAGGAGGAACACCCGUGGCGAAGGCGGCUGCCUGGUCCAUAUCUGACGCUGAGGUGCGAAAGCCAGGGGAGCGAACGGGCUUAGAUACCCCAGUAGUC
This 443-nucleotide ribosomal RNA is filed under the name uncultured Armatimonadota bacterium. RNAcentral's name for it is "bacterial SSU rRNA". It matches the Rfam family "Bacterial small subunit ribosomal RNA", at positions 338 to 795 of the family's 1533-position model. The record is from RNAcentral. Lineage: Bacteria; Bacillati; Armatimonadota.